GACCAGACUCCUACGGGAGGCAGCAGUGAGGAAUAUUGGUCAAUGGCCGGGAGGCUGAACCAGCCAAGUCGCGUGAGGGAAGACGGCCCUACGGGUUGUAAACCUCUUUUGUCAGGGAGCAAGAGGCGGGUCGGGACCUGCUGUGAGAGUACCUGAAGAAAAAGCAUCGGCUAACUCCGUGCCAGCAGCCGCGGGAAUACGUAGGGGGCGAGCGUUAUCCGGAUUCACUGGGUGUAAAGGGAGCGUAGACGGCCAAGCAAGCCAGGGGUGAAAGCCCGGGGCCCAACCCCGGGACUGCCCUUGGAACUGCUUGGCUGGAGUGCGGGAGGGGCAGGCGGAAUUCCUGGUGUAGCGGUGAAAUGCGUAGAUAUCAGGAGGAACACCGGCGGCGAAGGCGGCCUGCUGGACCGCGACUGACGUUGAGGCUCGAAAGCGUGGGGAGCGAACAGGAUUAGAUACCCCGGUACUC
This 469-nucleotide ribosomal RNA is filed under the name uncultured bacterium. RNAcentral's name for it is "partial 16S ribosomal RNA". It matches the Rfam family "Bacterial small subunit ribosomal RNA", at positions 329 to 795 of the family's 1533-position model. The record is from RNAcentral.